UGAGUCUUGCUUUAAAUUGUCCUGACACU
Molecule: non-coding RNA, 29 nt
Filed under: Rattus norvegicus (Norway rat)
Lineage: Eukaryota; Metazoa; Chordata; Mammalia; Rodentia; Muridae
Source: RNAcentral